AUUGAACGCUGGCGGCAGGCCUAACACAUGCACGUCGAGCGGAUGACGGGAGCUUGCUCCUUGAUUCAGCGGCGGACGGGUGAGUAAUGCCUAGGAAUCUGCCUGGUAGUGGGGGACAACGUUUCGAAAGGAACGCUAAUACCGCAUACGUCCUACGGGAGAAAGCAGGGGACCUUCGGGCCUUGCGCUAUCAGAUGAGCCUAGGUCGGAUUAGCUAGUAGGUGAGGUAAUGGCUCACCUAGGCGACGAUCCGUAACUGGUCUGAGAGGAUGAUCAGUCACACUGGAACUGAGACACGGUCCAGACUCCUACGGGAGGAAGCAGUGGGAAUAUUGGACAAUGGGCGAAAGCCUGAUCCAGCCAUGCCGCGUGUGUGAAGAAGGUCUUCGGAUUGUAAAGCACUUUAAGUUGGGAGGAAGGGCAGUAAGUUAAUACCUUGCUGUUUUGACGUUACCGACAGAAUAAGCACCGGCUAACUCUGUGCCAGCCGCCGCGGUAA
RNAcentral lists this ribosomal RNA (499 nucleotides) under uncultured bacterium. Its description in RNAcentral is "partial 16S ribosomal RNA". It matches the Rfam family "Bacterial small subunit ribosomal RNA", at positions 30 to 523 of the family's 1533-position model. The record is from RNAcentral.